This 252-nucleotide ribosomal RNA is filed under the name uncultured bacterium. Its description in RNAcentral is "partial 16S ribosomal RNA". It matches the Rfam family "Bacterial small subunit ribosomal RNA", at positions 524 to 776 of the family's 1533-position model. The record is from RNAcentral.
UACGUAGGUGGCAAGCGUUGUCCGGAAUUAUUGGGCGUAAAGCGCGCGCAGGCGGCUAUGUAAGUCUGAUGUUAAAGCCCGAGGCUCAACCUCGGUCCGCAUUGGAAACUGCGUAGCUUGAGUGCAGAAGAGGAAAGUGGUAUUCCACGUGUAGCGGUGAAAUGCGUAGAGAUGUGGAGGAACACCAGUGGCGAAGGCGACUUUCUGGUCUGUAACUGACGCUGAGGCGCGAAAGCGUGGGGAGCAAACAGG